GGAUUGUUAGCUUUAGUUGGGCAAUUGGCCAUUGGACGAGUCCAGUCUCUUUUCAGUGUAGUGGUAGGACAAGGAGCAAUGGCCAAAAGCAGGAACGUAGGAAGUUACAAAUAUGUGGAAGAGCUUCUUUACAGUGAGAGUGACAGCCUGGCCCUUCCUCUGCUUUGCUACCAUGAGCCAUAACAGAAAUGUUUAAUGAAAAAAUAGAAGAUUCAAAAUGAGCAAAACUCGGCGUUGGAUAAUGCUACAUUUUUUCAGUGUUGUUAGCAGAGAAUCUGUGUCCUUGGAAGAUAAGGAGCCAACUGCAAAAGGUUGUUUUGUAGAAUUUCCCAGAGAUAUUGUUCUGUGCUUGCCUCUUUGCCCACGCAAUUCAAUCGUCUGCUAAGGUAACAAGUAGGUUAUGGAAGUAUGAAAUGGUUCCUUUCAUAAUAACUUUAAUGUUUCAUAAUUAGAAAUGGAAGUGGUAUGCCU
Molecule: long non-coding RNA, 471 nt
Filed under: Numida meleagris (helmeted guineafowl)
Lineage: Eukaryota; Metazoa; Chordata; Aves; Galliformes; Numididae
Description: lncRNA (ENSNMEG00000000807.1)
Source: RNAcentral